This 253-nucleotide ribosomal RNA is filed under the name uncultured bacterium. RNAcentral describes it as "partial 16S ribosomal RNA". It matches the Rfam family "Bacterial small subunit ribosomal RNA", at positions 524 to 776 of the family's 1533-position model. The record is from RNAcentral.
UACAGAGGUCUCAAGCGUUGUUCGGAUUCAUUGGGCGUAAAGGGUUCGUAGGCGGUGCGGCAAGUCGGGAGUGAAAUCUCUGGGCUCAACCCAGAGGCUGCUUCCGAAACUGCUGUGCUUGAGUGUGGGAGAGGCGCGUGGAAUUGCAGGUGUAGCGGUGAAAUGCGUAGAUAUCUGCAGGAACACCCGUGGCGAAAGCGGCGCGCUGGACCACUACUGACGCUGAAGAACGAAAGCUAGGGGAGCAAACAGG